UACGGAGGGUGCAAGCGUUAUCCGGAUUCACUGGGUUUAAAGGGUGCGUAGGCGGGUAUAUAAGUCAGCGGUGAAAUCUCCGGGCUCAACCCGGAAACUGCCAUUGAUACUAUUGGUCUUGAAUAUUGUGAGGUGGGCGGAACGGGUCAUGUAGCGGUGAAAUGCUUAGAGAUGACCCGGAACACCGAUUGCGAAGGCAGCCCACUACGCAAUGAUUGACGCUGAGGCACGAAAGCGUGGGGAUCAAACAGG
RNAcentral lists this ribosomal RNA (252 nucleotides) under uncultured bacterium. RNAcentral describes it as "partial 16S ribosomal RNA". It matches the Rfam family "Bacterial small subunit ribosomal RNA", at positions 524 to 776 of the family's 1533-position model. The record is from RNAcentral.